UUCUGACCCGCACGAAAGGUGUAAUGAUCCCUUCGCUGUCUCGGCUGCAGACUCGGUGAAAUUUUAGUACCGGUGAAGAUGCCGGUUACCCGCAACUAGACGGAAAGACCCCGUGGAGCUUUACUAUAACUUGAUAUUGAAAUUUGGUGUAACGUGUAGAGGAUAGGUGGGAGACUAUGAGACCAGGACGCCAGUACUGGUGGAGUCAACCUUGGAAUACCACCCUCGUUACAUUGGGUUUCUAACUUCGACCCGUUAUCCGGGUUAAGGACAGUGUCUGGUGGGUAGUUUGACUGGGGCGGUCGCCUCCCAAAAAGUAACGGAGGCGCUCAAAGGUAUCCUCAGUAUGGUUGGAAAUCAUACAUAGAGCGCAAAGGUAGAAGGAUGCUUAACUGCGAGACUUACAAGUCGAACAGAUACGAAAGUAGGACUUAGUGAUCCGGCGGUCCCGAGUGGAAGGGCCGUCGCUCAACGGAUAAAAGUUACCCCGGGGAUAACAGGCUUAUCUCCCCCAAGAGUUCACAUCGACGGGGAGGUUUGGCACCUCGAUGUCGGCUCAUCGCAUCCUGGAGCUGUAGUCGGUUCCAAGGGUUGGGCUGUUCGCCCAUUAAAGCGGUACGCGAGCUGGGUUCAGAACGUCGUGAGACAGUUUGGUCCCUAUCUGUUGUGGGCGUAGGAAAAUUGAAGAGAGCUGUUCCUAGUACGAGAGGACCGGAAUGGACGCACCCCUGGUGCUCCUGUUGUCACGCCAGUGGCAUAGCAGGGUAGCUAUGUGCGGACAGGAUAAUCGCUGAAGGCAUCUAAGCGAGAAGCCCCCUUUAAGAUGAAUUUUCCCAUUUGUAAGAUGUAAG
This 851-nucleotide ribosomal RNA is filed under the name Listeria monocytogenes. RNAcentral's name for it is "partial 23S ribosomal RNA". It matches the Rfam family "Bacterial large subunit ribosomal RNA", at positions 1981 to 2832 of the family's 2925-position model. Lineage: Bacteria; Bacillati; Bacillota; Bacilli; Caryophanales; Listeriaceae. The record is from RNAcentral.